RNAcentral lists this ribosomal RNA (412 nucleotides) under Arsenophonus endosymbiont of Bemisia tabaci. RNAcentral describes it as "bacterial SSU rRNA". It matches the Rfam family "Bacterial small subunit ribosomal RNA", at positions 505 to 916 of the family's 1533-position model. The record is from RNAcentral. Lineage: Bacteria; Pseudomonadati; Pseudomonadota; Gammaproteobacteria; Enterobacterales; Morganellaceae.
GUGCCAGCCGCCGCGGUAAUACGGAGGGUGCAAGCGUUAAUCGGAAUUACUGGGCGUAAAGGGCACGCAGGCGGUUAAUUAAGUUGAAUGUGAAAUCCCCGAGCUUAACCUGGGAAUAGCAUUCAAGACUGAUUAGCUAGAGUCUUGUAGAGGGGGGUAGAAUUCCAUGUGUAGCGGUGAAAUGCGUAGAGAUGUGGAGGAAUACCAGUGGCGAAGGCGGCCCCCUGGACAAAGACUGACGCUCAUGUGCGAAAGCGUGGGGAGCAAACAGGAUUAGAUACCCUGGUAGUCCACGCUGUAAACAAUGUCGAUUUGGAGGUUGUGGUCAUAAACUGUGGCCUCCGAAGCUAACGCGUUAAAUCGACCGCCUGGGGAGUACGGCCGCAAGGUUAAAACUCAAAUGAAUUGACGG